RNAcentral lists this transfer RNA (85 nucleotides) under Acidaminococcales bacterium. RNAcentral describes it as "tRNA-Leu". It matches the Rfam family "tRNA". From Rfam's summary of the family: Transfer RNA (tRNA) molecules are approximately 80 nucleotides in length. Their secondary structure includes four short double-helical elements and three loops (D, anti-codon, and T loops). Further hydrogen bonds mediate the characteristic L-shaped molecular structure. tRNAs have two regions of fundamental functional importance: the anti-codon, which is responsible for specific mRNA codon recognition, and the 3' end, to which the tRNAs corresponding amino acid is attached (by aminoacyl-tRNA synthetases). tRNAs cope with the degeneracy of the genetic code in two manners: having more than one tRNA (with a specific anti-codon) for a particular amino acid; and 'wobble' base-pairing, i.e. permitting non-standard base-pairing at the 3rd anti-codon position. Lineage: Bacteria; Bacillati; Bacillota; Negativicutes; Acidaminococcales. The record is from RNAcentral.
GCGGUUGUGGCGGAACUGGCAGACGCACCAUCUUGAGGGGGUGGCGGGGCAACUCGUGUGGGUUCAAAUCCCACCAACCGCACCA